Molecule: ribosomal RNA, 253 nt
Filed under: uncultured bacterium
Lineage: Bacteria
Description: partial 16S ribosomal RNA
Rfam family: Bacterial small subunit ribosomal RNA
Source: RNAcentral
AACGUAGGGGACGAGCGUUAUCCGGAUUUACUGGGCGUAAAGCGCAUGUAGGUGGCUUGAAAAGUUGGACGUGAAAGCUCCUGGCUUAACUGGGAGAGGUCGUACAAAACUAGCAAGCUUGAGGUUGGAAGAGGAGAGCAGAAUUCCCGGUGUAGUGGUGGAAUGCGUAGAUAUCGGGAGGAACACCAGUGGCGAAGGCGACUUCCUGGCCUGUUCUUGACGCUGAGGCGCGAAAGCUAGGGUAGCAAACGGG